CCCGCAGUUUCUCGUCCUGACAUUAAAGUUUUAUUCUAGCUAAAGAAUUUCCUGGUUUGUUGUUUCACAUGUGAGGUUUUCCGCGAUGUUUGAAGAGUCUAAAGGGUUUUGAAGGAGUUGUUAAUCGCAGUGUUUUGUAUUAGGGUUUAGAGAAAUCUAGAUUUAGUAAUCUACUUAGUCCCGGCAAAAUUCGUGCCAGCCGCCGCGGUUACACGAAAGGGGCAAGGAAAUUUUAUUGGUUUGUAAUUAGUUGUAAAUAGAUUAGACUUGGAUUUUUAUUAGGUGAAAUUUUAAAGAUCCAAUUAAUCGAAAAGAGAUUUGGUGAAGUUAUGAAAUUUAGGAGAGAAACUAGGAUUAGAUACCCUAUUAUUCUAAACGUUAAGGAAAAGAACCUGAGUAGUAAUAGUUAAAGGCUUGAAACUCAAAGAAUUUGGCGGUGUUUUAGUCCGUUCAGAGGAACCUGUCCCGUAAUCGAUAAUCCACGAUUACUUAACUUGGAUUGGUAGUCAGCUUGUAUACCGCCGUCAAAAGAGUGAUUCUAGAGAAUAUCCUCCAAUACCUUAAUUGAGAGUUAUGUCAGGUCAAGGUGCAGCUUAUGUUUAAGGGGAGAUGGGUUACAAUAGGAGGGUACCUAAAUGGAUAUUAGGUUGAAAUAUUUAAUGGAAGGUGGAUUUGAAUGUAAUGAAGGCUAUAGAGUUUUUUUGAAAUAGGCUCUAAAACAAGCACACAUCGCCCGUCGCUCUCGUUUAUUAAGGCGAGAUAAGUCGUAACAAAGUAGGUGUACCGGAAGGUGCUUCUAGAAAGU
Molecule: non-coding RNA, 805 nt
Filed under: Parafronurus youi
Lineage: Eukaryota; Metazoa; Arthropoda; Insecta; Ephemeroptera; Heptageniidae
Source: RNAcentral